This 2908-nucleotide ribosomal RNA is filed under the name Candidatus Brachybacter algidus. Its description in RNAcentral is "23S ribosomal RNA". It matches the Rfam family "Bacterial large subunit ribosomal RNA". The record is from RNAcentral. Lineage: Bacteria; Pseudomonadati; Bacteroidota; Saprospiria; Saprospirales; Saprospiraceae.
UAGGAAGCUUAAAAGGGCGUAUGGUGGAUGCCUUGGCUCUUGGAGAAGACGAAGGACGUGGUAAGCUGCGAAAAGCCGUGGGGAGUUGCAAACAAACUGUGAUCCGCGGAUGUCCGAAUGGGGCAACCCAUCUAGAUGAAGUCUAGAUAUUCCAUGAAUGUGGAAAUAGAACCCGGGGAACUGAAACAUCUAAGUACCCGGAGGAAGAGAAAAUAAUAAUGAUUCCGUAAGUAGUGGCGAGCGAACGCGGAAGAGCCCAAACCGCAGUGUACUAAUGCUGUGGGGUUGUAGGACCCGAUGUACGAAGCUAAAAUGAAUGAGAACACAACUGGAAAGUUGGACCAUAGAGGGUGAUAGUCCCGUAUCGGUAAGUUUUAGAAUAGUUAGGGUAUCCUGAGUAGGGCGGGACCGGAGAAAUCCUGCUUGAAUCUGCCGGCACCAUCCGGUAAGGCUAAAUACUACCAAGAGACCGAUAGUGAACCAGUACUGUGAAGGAAAGGUGAAAAGAACCCCGGGAAGGGGAGUGAAAAGAACCUGAAACCAUACGCCUACAAGCGGUCGGAGCUGGAUAUUUAUAUCUGGUGACGGCGUGCCUUUUGCAUAAUGAUCCUACGAGUUACUCCUCACCGGCAAGCUUAAGUGUUUAAGACACGGAGGCGGAGCGAAAGCGAGUCUGAAUAGGGCGCAAGUCGGUGGGGGUAGACGCGAAACCAUGUGAUCUACCCAUGGGCAGGUUGAAGCUUCGAUAGUAUCGAAGUGGAGGACCGAACCGGUAAACGUUGAAAAGUUUUCGGAUGACCUGUGGGUAGGGGUGAAAGGCCAAUCAAACUUGGAGAUAGCUCGUACUCCCCGAAAUGCAUUUAGGUGCAGCGUCGGGUUGAGGUGUCAUGGAGGUAGAGCUACCAAUAGGGCUAGGGGGCUUCACCGCCUACCAACCCCUGAUGAACUCCGAAUGCCAUGACAUCAUACCGGCAGUGAGGCUACGGGUGCUAAGGUCCGUAGCCGAGAGGGGAACAACCCAGACCAACAGCUAAGGUCCCCAAAUAGAUAUUAAGUUGAUUUUAACGAUGUGAGGAUGCAGUGACAGCUAGGAUGUUUGCUUGGAAGCAGCAAUUCAUUUAAAGAGUGCGUAACAGCUCACUAGUCGAGCGUUCUUGCGCGGAAAAUAAUCGGGCAUCAAAUAUCUUACCGAAGCUUUGGAUACCAGUCUAGGACUGGUGGUGGUAGGGGAGCAUUCUAAACUGCAGUGAAGGUGUGUCGUGAGAUGCGCUGGAGUGUUUAGAAAAGCAAAUGUAGGAAUGAGUAACGAUAAAAUAGGUGAGAAACCUAUUCGCCGUAAGACUAAGGAUUCCGGGAUCUAUGUUAAUCAGAACCGGGUUAGUCGGGGCCUAAGGUGUAGCCGAAGGGCGAAGCCGAUGGGAAACAGGUUAAUAUUCCUGUACAUGUAUCAGCUGUGAUGGGGUGACGAAGGAGCGUAAGGUUCGCCCACUGACGGAAUAGUGGGUUGAAGGGAGAAGGCGUUGAAGAUAUAGGCAAAUCCGUAUCUGAGCUGAGACCUGAUAGUACACAAGUCCCUUGGGAUGAGUGAUAGUGACUGUAAGCAUACUUCCAAGAAAAACCUCUAAACUUCAGGCUGACACAUCCCGUACCGUAAACCGACACAGGUAGUCGAGGAGAGUAUCCUAAGGCGCUCGAGUGAUCCGUGGCUAAGGAACUAGGCAAAAUGGUCUCGUAACUUCGGGAGAAGAGACUCCCCUCGUGAGAGGGGACGCAGUGAAGAGGCCCAGGCGACUGUUUAACAAAAACACAGGACUCUGCAAAAUCGUAAGAUGAAGUAUAGGGUCUGACACCUGCCCGGUGCUGGAAGGUUAAGGAAGGGGGUUAGUGCGUAAGUGCGAAGCUCUUAACUGAAGCCCCAGUAAACGGCGGCCGUAACUAUAACGGUCCUAAGGUAGCGAAAUUCCUUGUCGGGUAAGUUCCGACCUGCACGAAUGGUGUAACGAUCUGGGCGCUGUCUCAGCCACGAGCUCGGUGAAAUUGAAGUAUCGGUGAAGAUGCCGAUUACCCGCAACGGGACGGAAAGACCCCGUGAACCUUUACUACAACUUCACAUUGAGCUUGAAUACAGGAUGUGUAGGAUAGGUGGGAGGCUACGAAGCUGUGACGCUAGUCAUGGUGGAGCCAACGUUGAAAUACCACCCUUCCUGUAUUUAGGUUCUAAUCCCUAAAAGGGAAACAGUGUGUGGUGGGUAGUUUGACUGGGGUGGUCGCCUCCAAAAAAGUAACGGAGGCUCGCAAAGGUACACUCAGCAUGGUCGGUAAUCAUGCGAAGAGCGUAUUAGUAUAAGUGUGCUUGACUGAGAGACCGACGGGUCGAUCAGGAACGAAAGUUGGCUAAAGUGAUCCGGUGUUUCCGCAUGGAAGGGACAUCGCUCAAAGGAUAAAAGGUACUCCGGGGAUAACAGGCUGAUCCUACCCAAGAGCUCAUAUCGACGGUAGGGUUUGGCACCUCGAUGUCGGCUCGUCACAUCCUGGGGCUGGAGAAGGUCCCAAGGGUUGGGCUGUUCGCCCAUUAAAGUGGCACGCGAGCUGGGUUCAGAACGUCGCAAGACAGUUCGGUCCCUAUCUGUUGUGGGCGCAGGAAUAUUGAAGGGAGCUGAUUCUAGUACGAGAGGACCGAAUUGGACGUACCGCUAGUGUACCGGUUGUGGCGCCAGCUGCACCGCCGGGUAGCUAUGUACGGCAUGGAUAAGCGCUGAAAGCAUCUAAGCGCGAAGCCAUCCCUAAGAUGAGUAUUCCAGCACGUAAGUGUAAAGGACCCCAGAAGACUACUGGGUUGAUAGGUUAUAGGUGGAAGUGCAGUAAUGUGCGUAGCCGAGUAAUACUAAUUGUCCGACAGCUUCCUUUU